CUGGUCUUGACAUGCUAGGAAUCCUGCAGAAAUGUGGGAGUGCCGCAAGGAACCUAGACACAGGUGCUGCAUGGCUGUCGUCAGCUCGUGUCGUGAGAUGUUGGGUUAAGUCCCGCAACGAGCGCAACCCUUGUCCUUAGUUGCCACCAUUUAGUUGGGCACUCUAAGGAGACCGCCGGUGACAAACCGGAGGAAGGUGGGGAUGACGUCAAGUCCUCAUGGCCCUUAUGACCAGGGCUACACACGUACUACAAUGGCCGAUACAGAGGGUUGCCAACCCGCAAGGGGGAGCUAAUCCCAGAAAGUCGGUCGUAGUCCGGAUCGG
This 325-nucleotide ribosomal RNA is filed under the name uncultured bacterium. Its description in RNAcentral is "bacterial SSU rRNA". It matches the Rfam family "Bacterial small subunit ribosomal RNA", at positions 975 to 1301 of the family's 1533-position model. The record is from RNAcentral.